ACGAACGCUGGCGGCGUGCUUAACACAUGCAAGUCGAACGGUAAGGCCCUUUCGGGGGUACACGAGUGGCGAACGGGUGAGUAACACGUGGGUAAUCUGCCCUGCACUUCGGGAUAAGCCUGGGAAACUGGGUCUAAUACCGGAUAUGAGCUCCUGCCGCAUGGUGGGGGUUGGAAAGUUUUUCGGUGCAGGAUGAGUCCGCGGCCUAUCAGCUUGUUGGUGGGGUAAUGGCCUACCAAGGCGACGACGGGUAGCCGGCCUGAGAGGGUGAUCGGCCACACUGGGACUGAGACACUGCCCAGACUCCUACGGGAGGCAGCAGUGGGGAAUAUUGCACAAUGGGCGAAAGCCUGAUGCAGCGACGCCGCGUGGGGGAUGACGGUCUUCGGCUUGUAAACUCCUUUCAGUAGGGACGAAGCGAAAGUGACGGUACCUGCAGAAGAAGCACCGGCCAACUACGU
Molecule: ribosomal RNA, 461 nt
Filed under: uncultured bacterium
Lineage: Bacteria
Description: bacterial SSU rRNA
Rfam family: Bacterial small subunit ribosomal RNA
Source: RNAcentral